RNAcentral lists this ribosomal RNA (497 nucleotides) under uncultured bacterium. RNAcentral describes it as "partial 16S ribosomal RNA". It matches the Rfam family "Bacterial small subunit ribosomal RNA", at positions 28 to 507 of the family's 1533-position model. The record is from RNAcentral.
GAUGAACGCUGGCGGCGUGCCUAAUACAUGCAAGUCGAGCGAACAGACGAGGAGCUUGCUCCUCUGACGUUAGCGGCGGACGGGUGAGUAACACGUGGAUAACCUACCUAUAAGACUGGGAUAACUUCGGGAAACCGGAGCUAAUACCGGAUAACAUGUUGAACCGCAUGGUUCAACAGUGAAAGACGGUCUUGCUGUCACUUAUAGAUGGAUCCGCGCCGCAUUAGCUAGUUGGUAAGGUAACGGCUUACCAAGGCAACGAUGCGUAGCCGACCUGAGAGGGUGAUCGGCCACACUGGAACUGAGACACGGUCCAAACUCCUACGGGAGGCAGCAGUAGGGAAUCUUCCGCAAUGGGCGAAAGCCUGACGGAGCAACGCCGCGUGAGUGAAGAAGGUCUUCGGAUCGUAAAACUCUGUUAUUAGGGAAGAACAAAUGUGUAAGUAACUAUGCACGUCUUGACGGUACCUAAUCAGAAAGCCACGGCUAACUACGUG